This 228-nucleotide unclassified non-coding RNA is filed under the name Hevea brasiliensis (rubber tree). Lineage: Eukaryota; Viridiplantae; Streptophyta; Magnoliopsida; Malpighiales; Euphorbiaceae. The record is from RNAcentral.
AUUGAUUCCAUGUCCUGAGAGCCAGCAAGCUCCUCAAAUUGCUUAACCCAAUCUUCCAUCAUUGCAUCCUUACUAAAAUCUUCUGGUUUCGGACCUGUGACAGACUCCAAUCCCUUAACAGCCUCCCUAGUCUGCUCCCUAAGCUGAUCAAGCGCCUCUGCAACAUGGGACUCCUUUGUAAACUUUUGCUUUCCCUUUUUCUUGCUUUUCAAGUCAGGUAAUCCCAUA